This 401-nucleotide ribosomal RNA is filed under the name uncultured bacterium. Its description in RNAcentral is "partial 16S ribosomal RNA". It matches the Rfam family "Bacterial small subunit ribosomal RNA", at positions 361 to 774 of the family's 1533-position model. The record is from RNAcentral.
AUAUUGCGCAAUGGGCGGAAGCCUGACGCAGCGACGCCGCGUGGGGGAUGACGGCCUUCGGGUUGUAAACCUCUUUCAGCAGGGACGAAGCGAGAGUGACGGUACCUGCAGAAGAAGCACCGGCCAACUACGUGCCAGCAGCCGCGGUAAUACGUAGGGUGCAAGCGUUGUCCGGAAUUAUUGGGCGAAAAGAGCUCGUAGGCGGUUUGUUGCGUCGGCUGAGAAAUCCCGAGGCUCAACCUCGGGUCUGCAGUCGAUACGAGCAAACUAGAGUGUUGCAGGGGAGACUGGAAUUCCUGGUGUAGCGGUGAAAUGCGCAGAUAUCAGGAGGAACACCGGUGGCGAAGGCGGGUCUCUGGGCAACAACUGACGCUGAGGAGCGAAAGCGUGGGGAGCGAACA